GGAAGCUGCUAACCCGACCCGGAUUGGCGCUGAGGUGGCCCGUGGGGCAGGGCAGAUGAUUCUGGACCAGAUGAAGCCUGAGGAGCCUUCCAGCUCUAAGAUAGCAGGAUAGGAGACUUCUAAGAUUGGAGCUGCAGAAGACUUGCCAGCCCACCAGCACAAUGUCAGGAAGCCAUACACCUGCCUGUGGCCCUUUCUCAGCCCUGACUCCGAGCAUAUGGCCCCAGGAGAUCUUGGCCAAGUACACGCAGAAGGAAGAGUCAGCAGAGCAACCAGAGUUCUACUACGAUGAGUUUGGUUUCCGUGUGUACAAGGAAGAAGGUGAUGAGCCUGGCUCCAAUCUGCUGGCGAACUCCCCUCUGAUGGAGGAUGCUCCACAGAGGCUGCGGUGGCAGGCCCACCUGGAGUUCACCCAUAACCACGAUGUGGGGGAUCUCACCUGGGACAAGAUUGCUGUCUCCCUACCCCGCUCUGAGAAGCUCCGCUCCCUGGUGCUGGCCGGCAUCCCACAUGGCAUGAGGCCACAGCUGUGGAUGCGGCUCUCUGGGGCCCUGCAGAAGAAGAGGAACUCUGAGCUGUCCUACCGCGAGAUUGUGAAGAACAGCUCCAACGAUGAGACCAUCGCUGCCAAGCAGAUCGAGAAGGACCUGCUCCGCACCAUGCCCAGCAAUGCCUGCUUCGCCAGCAUGGGUAGCAUCGGGGUGCCCCGCCUGCGCAGGGUGCUCCGGGCCCUGGCCUGGCUCUACCCAGAGAUCGGCUACUGCCAGGGCACCGGCAUGGUGGCCGCCUGCCUCCUGCUGUUCCUGGAGGAGGAGGAUGCCUUCUGGAUGAUGUCUGCCAUCAUCGAGGACCUGCUCCCCGCCUCCUACUUCAGCACCACCCUGCUGGGCGUCCAGACUGACCAGCGGGUCCUGCGCCACCUCAUUGUCCAGUACCUGCCUCGCCUGGACAAGCUGCUCCAGGAGCAUGACAUUGAGCUGUCCCUGAUCACACUGCACUGGUUCCUCACGGCCUUCGCCAGCGUGGUGGACAUCAAGCUGCUCCUGCGCAUCUGGGACCUGUUUUUCUACGAGGGCUCCCGGGUGCUGUUCCAGCUCACGCUGGGCAUGCUGCACCUCAAGGAGGAAGAGCUGAUCCAGUCAGAGAACUCGGCCUCCAUCUUCAACACGCUAUCGGAUAUCCCGUCGCAGAUGGAGGACGCGGAGCUGCUUCUGGGGGUGGCCAUGCGGCUGGCCGGCUCCCUCACCGAUGUGGCCGUGGAGACUCAGCGCCGCAAGCACCUGGCCUAUCUCAUUGCAGACCAGGGCCAGCUCCUGGGGGCCGGCACCCUCACCAACCUCUCUCAGGUUGUUCGCCGCAGGACCCAGCGGAGGAAGUCCACCAUCACUGCUCUGCUCUUUGGUGAGAGCUCUGCGAGUGCCAGGCAGUGUGGGCAUGCGGGAGUCUGUCCUCACGCUCAUGUGGACGUGGAGCUUCCUCCUCGGGGGCCUGGAGUGGGCUGUGGUCACCAUUGCUCUCUGGGCCUCCUAGGGGAGGAUGACCUGGAGGCACUCAAGGCCAAGAACAUCAAGCAGACGGAACUGGUGGCUGACCUCCGGGAAGCCAUCCUGCGCGUGGCACGCCACUUCCAGUGCACAGACCCCAAAAACUGCAGCGUGGUGAGUCGCCAGCUCCCUGGGCUGCUACCAAACAUGGCCCUAACUCCUCCAACCCCCUUGGUGGGCCUGUUUUCACUGUGGCAGGAGCUGACUCCAGACUACAGCAUGGAGAGCCACCAGCGGGACCACGAGAACUACGUGGCAUGCUCACGCAGCCACCGGCGCCGAGCCAAGGCCCUGCUGGACUUUGAGCGGCACGACGACGACGAGCUGGGCUUCCGCAAGAACGACAUCAUCACAAUCGUGUCUCAGAAGGACGAGCACUGCUGGGUGGGGGAGCUCAACGGCCUGCGAGGCUGGUUUCCAGCCAAGUUCGUGGAAGUCCUGGAUGAGCGCAGCAAAGAGUACUCCAUCGCGGGGGAUGACUCGGUGACGGAGGGGGUCACAGACCUCGUGCGAGGGACCCUCUGCCCGGCCCUUAAGGCCCUGUUCGAACAUGGACUGAAGAAGCCAUCCCUGCUUGGGGGCGCCUGCCACCCCUGGCUGUUUAUCGAGGAGGCUGCAGGCCGGGAGGUCGAGAGAGACUUUGCCUCCGUGUAUUCCCGUCUGGUGCUCUGUAAGACCUUCAGGUUGGAUGAAGAUGGCAAAGUCCUGACCCCGGAGGAGCUGCUCUACCGGGCCGUGCAGUCUGUGAACGUGACCCACGAUGCAGUGCAUGCACAAAUGGAUGUGAAGCUCCGCUCACUGAUCUGCGUGGGGCUCAAUGAGCAGGUGCUGCACCUGUGGCUGGAGGUGCUCUGCUCCAGCCUGCCCACCGUGGAGAAGUGGUACCAGCCCUGGUCCUUCCUGCGCAGCCCAGGCUGGGUCCAGAUCAAGUGUGAGCUCCGAGUCCUCUGCUGCUUUGCCUUCAGCCUCUCCCAGGACUGGGAGCUCCCUGCAAAGAGAGAGGCGCAGCAGCCCCUGAAGGAGGGCGUCCGGGACAUGCUGGUGAAGCACCACCUCUUCAGCUGGGAUGUGGACGGGUGACCCCCUCCUCCCCAGCCCAACCUCGGGCCUGCGUCUGAGGUGGCCCAGGGAAGAGCAGCUCCAGAGCCCUGGCCAGGGCCCCGGGAUAUCAGGCUGCCCCGCUCCACGUUCCCCAGCACAUCCCAGGUGGUGGGAGCAGAGGGUACCCUGCCCCACCAGGGUCCUUAGGGAUGCUCUAGGCCAAACCACAGUUUGUACCAAAAACCUUGUGAGGAGGUGGGGGAGCCAUGUCUGUGCUCAGGAAGAGGGAAGGGGAUGGGGGUGGCUAGUAGGCUCCUGGCCUCUUUGGUUUAUAAAUAAACUGUGUCUGUCUUUGAGAAA
This 2945-nucleotide small RNA is filed under the name Pan troglodytes (chimpanzee). Its description in RNAcentral is "retained intron". The record is from RNAcentral. Lineage: Eukaryota; Metazoa; Chordata; Mammalia; Primates; Hominidae.